GGCCACUCCCCGUGCCUGCCUUGGCGCGCGGCGCGGGGCGAUGACGCCACUUCCGGCCUUUCGAACCGCCAUGGCGGGAGCGGGUGGCGGGCGGCGCUCGGCGGGGGCGACCCCGACGGGGACUCGGGGCAGCUCCCUGCGCUCGGCGGUCUCGGAACCGCGGGGGGGCCGGAACCCCCGGAACCGCAGCCCCGUGAGUGGGGGGGGGGGGGCCGGUGGGGUCACCAAGGGGUGGGGGAGGGUCCCGGGGGGGUCCAGAGAGCGUGAGGAGCCCCAGGAGUUGAGGGGGGGGGCCGGGGGGUCACCAAGGGGGUGGAGGAGGGUCCCGGGGGGGUCCUGGGGCUGGGGGGGCCCUGGGGGGUCCCAGGCAGGGGGUUGGGGGGGGUCUCGGGGCUGGGGGGCAACUCUCAGACCCUUCCCCUCCCCACAGGACUUUGAGCGACCCCGACGGAGCCCCCGGGUGAGUUGGGGGAGGGGCGAGGGGGUGGUGAGGGGGGGUCCUGGUGAUCCCGGGACCCCUCCCCACACUGACCCCCCAUCCCCCCCGCCCCUCCUCCACAGCUGCAGAGCCAGAAGGAGAACGGCCCCUCCCCCUCCUGUGCCCCCUCCCCCUCCUGUGCUGCCCCCCCUGCCCCCCCCACCUCCCCCUCCCUCCCCCCCCCCGUGUCCGUCGCUCCUACAGCCGCCUGGAGGGGGGGGCCGGGGGGCUCAGCCCGCGGGGGGGGCUCCCCCUGAGCCCCCUCCCCCUCAAUGUGCCCCUCCCCCGAGCCCCUCCCCCUGCCACCCCCCAGAUCCCCCCCUCGGCCUCCCUGGCAUCGGCCCCGCCCCCCCCGAGCGCAGGAGGAAGAGGAAGGUGACGCCCAUUGACGUGUCGGAGCUCGAGGCCUGGGCCGCCUCCAUGAACGCGCUGUUCGAGGAGGCCGAGCGCUUCCACCUGGUCGUGGAGUGA
RNAcentral lists this long non-coding RNA (949 nucleotides) under Camarhynchus parvulus. Its description in RNAcentral is "lncRNA (ENSCPVG00000017504.1)". The record is from RNAcentral. Lineage: Eukaryota; Metazoa; Chordata; Aves; Passeriformes; Thraupidae.